CCGCAUAGUAUCUGUGGAUUAAAGGUGGCUUUUGGGCUGUCGCAGAUGGAUGAGCCUGCGUUGGAUUAGCUAGUUGGUGGGGGUAAGGGCCUACCAAGGCUACGAUCCAUAGCUGAUUUGAGAGGAUGAUCAGCCACAUUGGGACUGAGACACGGCCCAAACUCCUACGGGAGGCAGCAGUGAGGAAUAUUGGACAAUGGGGGCAACCCUGAUCCAGCAAUGCCAUGUGUGUGAAGAAGGCCUUAGGGUUGUAAAACACUUUAGUUGGGGAAGAAAGCUUUGAGGUUAAUAGCCUUGAGGAAGGACGUUACCCAAAGAAUAAGCACCGGCUAACUCCGUGCCAGCAGCCGCGGUAAUACGGGGGGUGCAAGCGUUAAUCGGAAUUACUGGGCGUAAAGGGUCUGUAGGUGGUUUGUUAAGUCAGAUGUGAAAGCCCAGGGCUCAACCUUGGAACUGCAUUUGAUACUGGCAAACUAGAGUAUGGUAGAGGAAUGGGGAAUUUCUGGUGUAGCGGUGAAAUGCGUAGAGAUCAGAAGGAACACCAAUGGCGAAGGCAACAUUCUGGACCGAUACUGACACUGAGGGACGAAAGCGUGGGGAUCAAACAGGAUUAGAUACCCUGGUAGUCCACGCUGUAAACGAUGAGUACUAGCUGUUGGAGUCGGUGUAAAGGCUCUAGUGGCGCAGCUAACGCGAUAAGUACUCCGCCUGGGGACUACGGCCGCAAGGCUAAAACUCAAAGGAAUUGACGGGGACCCGCACAAGCGGUGGAGCAUGUGGUUUAAUUCGAUGCAACGCGAAGAACCUUACCUGGUCUUGACAUCCUACGAGCUUUCUAGAGAUAGAUUGGUGCCUUCGGGAACGCAGUGACAGGUGCUGCAUGGCUGUCGUCAGCUCGUGUUGUGAAAUGUUGGGUUAAGUCCCGCAACGAGCGCAACCCCUAUUGAUAGUUACCAUCAUUAAGUUGGGUACUUUAUUGAGACUGCCGCUGACAAGGCGGAGGAAGGUGGGGACGACGUCAAGUCAUCAUGGCCCUUACGACCAGGGCUACACACGUGCUACAAUGGGUAUUACAGAGGGCUGCGAAGGAGCGAUCUG
Molecule: ribosomal RNA, 1098 nt
Filed under: Francisella-like endosymbiont
Lineage: Bacteria; Pseudomonadati; Pseudomonadota; Gammaproteobacteria; Thiotrichales; Francisellaceae
Description: bacterial SSU rRNA
Rfam family: Bacterial small subunit ribosomal RNA
Source: RNAcentral